GUCUGCUUGGAGUUAUAAGAAGUCUAGCCUGCUCUCUGAUAAAUUUAAGGGCCGCGGUAAUUUGACCGUGCAAAGGUAGCAUAAUAGUUAGUUUUUUAAUUGGAAUCUUGUAUGAAUGGUUGGACAAAAGAAAUACUGUCUCUAUAAUUUUAUUUGAAUUUAACUUUUAAGUGAAAAGGCUUAAAUACAUUAAAAAGACGAUAAGACCCUAUAAAGCUUUAUAAGAAAAUUUUAUUUGGUUGAUUUAGAUUAAUAAAAGCCUAAUAUUUGUUCUUAUUUUAUUGGGGAGAUAAAAUUAUAAUUUUUUGUAACUGAUUAAAUAUAAAACAAAAAUAAAUGUUUAAACAAAAGUUAAUGAUCCUUAUUAAAGAUUCUAAGUUCAAGUUACUUUAGGGAUAACAGCGUUAUUUUUCUUGAGAGUUCAUAUCGAAAGAAAAGAUUGCGACCUCGAUGUUGAAUUAAAAUUUCUAAGUUAUUGCAGAAGUCACUUUAGAAGGUCUGUUCGACCUUUAAAUUUUUACAUGAUUUGAGUUCAGACCGGCGUAAGCCAGGUUGGUUUCUAUCUUUUAAUAAGAAAUAAAUUACCUUAGUACGAAAGGACUUGGUAAUUAAAUUUUUUUUAAGGUUGAUAAGUUAUUUUGGCAGAAUAUAUGUGUUGGA
RNAcentral lists this ribosomal RNA (660 nucleotides) under Scleroplax granulata. RNAcentral describes it as "partial 16S ribosomal RNA". It matches the Rfam family "Bacterial large subunit ribosomal RNA", at positions 1831 to 2764 of the family's 2925-position model. Lineage: Eukaryota; Metazoa; Arthropoda; Malacostraca; Decapoda; Pinnotheridae. The record is from RNAcentral.